RNAcentral lists this ribosomal RNA (253 nucleotides) under uncultured bacterium. RNAcentral's name for it is "partial 16S ribosomal RNA". It matches the Rfam family "Bacterial small subunit ribosomal RNA", at positions 524 to 776 of the family's 1533-position model. The record is from RNAcentral.
UACGGAGGGUGCAAGCGUUAUCCGGAUUCACUGGGUUUAAAGGGUGCGUAGGCGGGUUGGUAAGUCCGUGGUGAAAUCUCCGAGCUUAACUCGGAAACUGCCGUGGAUACUAUCAAUCUUGAAUAUCGUGGAGGUAAGCGGAAUAUGUCAUGUAGCGGUGAAAUGCUUAGAUAUGACAUAGAACACCAAUUGCGUAGGCAGCUUACUACACGAUCAUUGACGCUGAGGCAUGAAAGCGUGGGGAGCAAACAGG